UGAGGAACAUGACCUUCGGCGGGGGAUAGCCGGCCCAACGGCCGGGUAAUACCGCGUACGACCAUUUGGGGACAUCCCCGAGAGGUGAAAGCAGCAAUGCGCCGAUGGAGUGCCUCGCGGCCUAUCAGCUAGUUGGUGGGGUAAUGGCUCACCAAGGCGACGACGGGUAGCCGGCCUGAGAGGGUGACCGGCCACACUGGGACUGAGACACGGCCCAGACUCCGUACGGGAGCAG
This 235-nucleotide ribosomal RNA is filed under the name uncultured bacterium. RNAcentral's name for it is "partial 16S ribosomal RNA". It matches the Rfam family "Bacterial small subunit ribosomal RNA", at positions 118 to 347 of the family's 1533-position model. The record is from RNAcentral.